RNAcentral lists this ribosomal RNA (320 nucleotides) under uncultured eukaryote. RNAcentral's name for it is "partial 18S ribosomal RNA". It matches the Rfam family "Eukaryotic small subunit ribosomal RNA", at positions 1470 to 1796 of the family's 1831-position model. The record is from RNAcentral.
CCUCUAGAUGUUCUGGGCCGCACGCGCGCUACACUGAACAGUUCAACAAGUCUUAACCUUGGCCGAUAGGUCUGGGUAAUCUUUGAACGCUGUUCGUGAUUGGGAUAGACCUUUGCAAUUAUGGGUCUUCAACGAGGAAUUCCUAGUAAACGCAAGUCAUCAGCUUGCAUUGAUUACGUCCCUGCCCUUUGUACACACCGCCCGUCGCACCUACCGAUUGAAUGGUCCGGUGAAAUCUCGGGACGGCGGCUUGGUCGCUUGCGUCCGACUGCUGAAACUUGAUUAAACCAUAUCAUUUAGAGGAAGGUGAAGUCGUAACA